ACUUCGCUUGAUACCGAUUCCUUUAAGCAGUCAACAUUAGAAUGCAGUUUAAACCACCUCCAAGCAGAUUUAUGUAAUGCGCUCUAGUAAUGCGAAAGUAGUUCCCCAGUGCUUAAUCUUUUAUGGAAAAGGGUUUGGAAAUAGCUGUUUCCAUAAUGACAAUCAAAAAAAACUACCUACAUGUCACGACGUGCGCGCAUGCUGUUCGCUCUCCUCUCGCGCACGUCACGAGCAUGGCCGGAAUGAUACACUAGCACAGGUUGCCGAGCGUUGAAAUAUCGCCUCCCAUUAAUUUCAUUGGAAGGAAGGCGGUGAGAAGCGGAGAGUGCGGGGGACCUUUAGGCGGUGCGAAGGUGGCGUGGGAGGCAGUGGAAAAAUAUAAACUUUACCCAACUUUGUGCAAAUCACCAGCGCGACCACUGGGCGAUGACCAAUCAUAUCGAGUGAUUCCCAUGACGAAUUUGAUGCUUUGCGACCCAAGGCUGGAGACUUUCUUCAGCAAAGAUGGCUGACAAAAAUACUACGAUGGAAGCAAAUGGACUCCUGAAACAACCAGCAAGUCAGGCUGUCGUCUUGUGGAAACAGUGGAUGUAAAGAAUCUAGCUAGCUAAAGCAUUUACUGCAAAUUGAGUGUGCAAUUGUGUAAGCUUGUCUUGCUGAUAUUUGCCAUGCAAUGCAGAUGGAUGAAAUAACGUAGCUAGCUGUGUUCUUGCUUAUUGUACAGUGGAGGAUAAACAAUACCUGUAUGCCUAUGGAUGUGUAGCUAACGUUAGCGUUCAAGCCGAUCGGUGUAUGGACCCAAACGUUUGGCAUACAUAUUAGUUCAGAACCUAGCUAUGAACCUUAGCUAUCAUAGCCGGUUGUAUCAAAUUCAAAACAGUCUGAACGACAUUAAUGAAGCCUAUGGAUUGAGUAGAAUAUAAUAUAACUUUGUGCCAAGGAUGCAAGUCGUAGACAAGUUAUUACCAUGCAUGAGAUCCCCACAUUGUAGCCUGUACAUUUAAUAUAUUCACUGAUCAUGUACUCUACCUUGGCAAAUAAAGGUGCAUUUCAUGUA
Molecule: long non-coding RNA, 1057 nt
Organism: Oncorhynchus nerka (sockeye salmon)
Lineage: Eukaryota; Metazoa; Chordata; Actinopteri; Salmoniformes; Salmonidae
Exons: 2
Source: RefSeq, a predicted model, not a curated record